UGGGCGCAAGCCUGAUCCAGCCAUGCCGCGUGCAGGAUGACGGUCCUAUGGAUUGUAAACUGCUUUUGUACGGGAAGAAACACUCCUACGUGUAGGAGCUUGACGGUACCGUAAGAAUAAGGAUCGGCUAACUCCGUG
Molecule: ribosomal RNA, 138 nt
Filed under: agricultural soil bacterium CRS5645T18-2
Lineage: Bacteria
Description: partial 16S ribosomal RNA
Rfam family: Bacterial small subunit ribosomal RNA
Source: RNAcentral